CAAGUCGUGGGGCAGCAGGGGUGUAGCAAUACAUCUGCUGGCGACCGGCAAACGGGUGCGUAACACGUACGCAACCUUCCCGUUACUGUGGCAUAGCCCAGGGAAACUUGGAUUAAUACCACAUAUUAUAUUGAGGGGGCAUCCUCUUGACAUCAAAGCUUCGGCGGUAACGGAUGGGCGUGCGGUUGAUUAGGUAGUUGGCGGGGUAACGGCCCACCAAGCCUACGAUCAAUAGCUGAUGUGAGAGCAUGAUCAGCCACACGGGCACUGAGACACGGGCCCGACUCCUACGGGAGGCAGCAGUAAGGAAUAUUGGGCAAUGGACGAAAGUCUGACCCAGCCAUGCCGCGUGAAGGAUUAAGGUCCUCUGGAUUGUAAACUUCUUUUCUCUGGGGCGAAAAACAGCUAUUCUUAGUUGCUUGACAGUACCAGAGGAAUAAGCACCGGCUAACUCCGUGCCAGCAGCCGCGGUAAUACGGAGGGUGCAAGCGUUAUCCGGAUUCACUGGGUUUAAAGGGUGCGUAGGUGGGCCAGUAAGUCAGUGGUGAAAUCCCCGAGCUUAACUCGGGAACUGCCGUUGAUACUAUUGGUCUUGAAUAUCGUGGAGGUAAGCGGAAUAUGUCAUGUAGCGGUGAAAUGCUUAGAUAUGACAUAGAACACCGAUUGCGAAGGCAGCUUGCUACACGGUCAUUGACACUGAGGCACGAAAGCGUGGGGAUCAAACAGGAUUAGAUACCCUGGUAGUCCACGCCCUAAACUAUGGAUACUCGACAUCAGCGAUACACAGUUGGUGUCUGAGCGAAAGCAUUAAGUAUCCCACCUGGGAAGUACGAUCGCAAGAUUGAAACUCAAAGGAAUUGGCGG
This 864-nucleotide ribosomal RNA is filed under the name uncultured bacterium. RNAcentral describes it as "bacterial SSU rRNA". It matches the Rfam family "Bacterial small subunit ribosomal RNA", at positions 58 to 916 of the family's 1533-position model. The record is from RNAcentral.